CUUCUCGUACAUACGUUAUUCUAGGUUUAGUUUUCCCCCUUUUUCUUGACGGAAAACUCAAACCUCCAAACUCCGGCGAACGUCGCCAAGUGUUCCCCAAGUUCCAGACGCUCCGACGUUAUCUCCGGGACUUCGUCUCCACCAGAAAUUAACAGAGCGGUCAUGAACCGGAGCCGAGCCGGAGAAGUACACGCAACAGACGCGCACCCGGAUGGCUGAACGAUUUUGAUUUGGGCAGGGUUUAAAUCAUCGUGAUUUCCCUAAAUCCCCAAUUCUUAUAUUUAUAUUUAUUUUAUUAAAGAAACCCCCAGUAGUUUUUAAUUUUACAAAAUGUGUAAUGGGUAUAAAAACAUGAUUGCUGGAUGAAAUAAAGACUUAUCAAAUUCCUAAUUCUUAAACUCCAUCCUUUCACAUUCCUCUCCAAAUUAUUCACUCUCCGGCUAAUCUCGCCGAGUACCUUCAUCUCCAC
This 469-nucleotide long non-coding RNA is filed under the name Zostera marina. RNAcentral's name for it is "long non-coding RNA (ZMAR_LNC000560)". The record is from RNAcentral. Lineage: Eukaryota; Viridiplantae; Streptophyta; Magnoliopsida; Alismatales; Zosteraceae.